UAGGGAAUCUUCCACAAUGGACGAAAGUCUGAUGGAGCAACGCCGCGUGAGUGAAGAAGGGUUUCGGCUCGUAAAACUCUGUUGUUAAAGAAGAACAUAUCUGAGAGUAACUGUUCAGGUAUUGACGGUAUUUAACCAGAAAGCCACGGCUAACUACGUGUCAG
RNAcentral lists this ribosomal RNA (164 nucleotides) under uncultured bacterium. Its description in RNAcentral is "partial 16S ribosomal RNA". It matches the Rfam family "Bacterial small subunit ribosomal RNA", at positions 355 to 511 of the family's 1533-position model. The record is from RNAcentral.